This 1496-nucleotide ribosomal RNA is filed under the name uncultured Bordetella sp. RNAcentral describes it as "partial 16S-23S ribosomal RNA intergenic spacer". It matches the Rfam family "Bacterial small subunit ribosomal RNA". The record is from RNAcentral. Lineage: Bacteria; Pseudomonadati; Pseudomonadota; Betaproteobacteria; Burkholderiales; Alcaligenaceae.
CAGAGAGUUCGAUUCUGACCAGAUUGAACGCUGGCGGGAUGCUUUACACAUGCAAGUCGAACGGCAGCUGGACUUCGGUCUGGUGGCGAGUGGCGAACGGGUGAGUAAUGUAUCGGAACGUGCCUAGUAGCGGGGGAUAACUACGCGAAAGCGUAGCUAAUACCACAUACGCCCUUCGGGGAAAAGCAGGGGACCUUUGGGCACUCGCACUAUUAGAGCAGCCGAUAUCGGAUUAGCUAGUUGGUGGGGUAACGGCUCACCGAGGCGACGAUCCGUAGCUGGUUUGAGAGGGACGACCAGCCACACUGGGACUGAGACACGGCCCAGACUCCUACGGGAGAGCAGCAGUGGGGAAUUUUGGACAGCAGUGGGGAAACCCUGAUCCAGCCAUCCGCGUGUGCGAUGAAGGCCUUCAGGUUGUAAAGCACUUUUGGCGAGGAAAGAAACGGCACGGGAUAAUACCCCAUUUACGCUGACGGUAUACCUGCAGAAUAAGCGCCGGCUAACUACGUGCCAGCAGCCGCGGUAAUACGUAGGGUGCAAGCGUUAAUCGGAAUUACUGGGCGUAAAGCGUGCGCAGGCGGUUCGGAAAGAAAGAUGUGAAAUCCAGAGCUUAACUUUGGAACUGCAUUUUAACUUCUGAGCUAGAAGGGUGUGUGUCAGAGGGAGGUGGAAUUCACGUGUAGCAGUGAAAUGCGUAGAUAUGCGGAGAGAGGAACACCGAUGGCGAAGGCAGCCUCCUGGGAUAACGCGACGCUCAUGCACGAAAGCGUGAGGCAAACAGGAUUAGAUACCCUGGUAGUCCACGCCCUAACUGAUGUCAACUAGCUGUUGGGUAUGGGCCUUGGUAGCGCAGCUUGCUGCGGUAAUUGACCACUGGAGUACGGUCGCAAGAUUAAAACUCAAGAGGAAUUGGCCGGGGACCCGCACAAGCGGUGGAUGAUGUGGAUUAAUUCGAUGCAACGCGAAAAACCUUACCUACCCUUGACAUGUCUGGAAUCCCGAAGAGAUUUGGGAGUAGCAAGAGGAGCAAGACACAGGUGCUGCAUGGCUGUCGUCAGCUCAUUCGUGUCAGUGAGAUGUUGGGUUAAGUCCCGCAACGAGCGCAACCCUUGUCAUUAGUUGCUACGAAGAGACUCUAAUGAGACUGCCGGUGAUGACCGGAAGGUGGGGAUGACGUCAAGUCCUCAUGGCCCUUAUGGUGAGAACCCUGCACGUCGCCCACAAUGGCGAUCGGGACAGAGGUCGCCAACCCGCGAGAGGGCGCAAUCCCAGAAACCCGAUCGUAGUCGGAUGCCAGUCUGCAACUCGACUGCGUGGAAGUCGGAAUCGCUGAAGUAAUCGCGGAUCGGCAUGUCGCGGUGAAUACGUUCCCGGGUCUUGUACACCGCCCGUCACACCAUGGGAGUGGGUUUCAAGAAGGAGUUAGCCUAACCGUAAGGAGGGCGAUUACCACGGUAGGAUUCAUGACUGGGGGUGAAGUCGUAACAAGGUAG